Small nucleolar RNA from Tachyglossus aculeatus (Australian echidna), 138 nucleotides. The record is from RefSeq and is a predicted model, not a curated record. Lineage: Eukaryota; Metazoa; Chordata; Mammalia; Monotremata; Tachyglossidae.
UUCCUCUCAGCGUCGCACCUGGAGAGUUUCCAGUACUCUGCCAGUCUCAACUACAGGAGGGAGAGUCAAGCAGAGACCUACCCUUUCCAUUCCUAGAUUGGGCAGCAGCUAGCUAGUGGAAGGCAAUCUGCUACAAGU